GACGUAGGGGGCCAGCGUUGUUCGGAAUUACUGGGUGUAAAGGGUUCGUAGGCGGUGUGGCAAGUUGGGAGUGAAAUCUCUGGGCUCAACCCAGAGGCUGCUUCCAAAACUGCCAUGCUUGAGUGUGGGAGAGGCGCGUGGAAUUGCAGGUGUAGCGGUGAAAUGCGUAGAUAUCCGUAGGAACAUCCGAGGCGAAGGCGGCUCGCUGGAUCACAACUGACGCUGAGGGACGAAAGCUAGGGGAGCAAACAGG
RNAcentral lists this ribosomal RNA (253 nucleotides) under uncultured bacterium. RNAcentral's name for it is "partial 16S ribosomal RNA". It matches the Rfam family "Bacterial small subunit ribosomal RNA", at positions 524 to 776 of the family's 1533-position model. The record is from RNAcentral.